Molecule: ribosomal RNA, 1749 nt
Filed under: Klebsiella pneumoniae
Lineage: Bacteria; Pseudomonadati; Pseudomonadota; Gammaproteobacteria; Enterobacterales; Enterobacteriaceae
Description: partial 23S ribosomal RNA
Rfam family: Bacterial large subunit ribosomal RNA
Source: RNAcentral
CCGGCGAUGUCCGAAUGGGGAAACCCAGUGCAAUUCGUUGCACUAUCGUUAACUGAAUACAUAGGUUAACGAGGCGAACCGGGGGAACUGAAACAUCUAAGUACCCCGAGGAAAAGAAAUCAACCGAGAUUCCCCCAGUAGCGGCGAGCGAACGGGGAGCAGCCCAGAGUCUGAAUCAGCUUGUGUGUUAGUGGAACGGUCUGGAAAGUCCGACGGUACAGGGUGAUAGUCCCGUACACCAAAAUGCACAGGCUGUGAACUCGAAGAGUAGGGCGGGACACGUGGUAUCCUGUCUGAAUAUGGGGGGACCAUCCUCCAAGGCUAAAUACUCCUGACUGACCGAUAGUGAACCAGUACCGUGAGGGAAAGGCGAAAAGAACCCCGGCGAGGGGAGUGAAAAAGAACCUGAAACCGUGUACGUACAAGCAGUGGGAGCACCUUCGGGUGUGACUGCGUACCUUUUGUAUAAUGGGUCAGCGACUUAUAUUCUGUAGCAAGGUUAACCGUAUAGGGGAGCCGCAGGGAAACCGAGUCUUAACUGGGCGUUAAGUUGCAGGGUAUAGACCCGAAACCCGGUGAUCUAGCCAUGGGCAGGUUGAAGGUUGGGUAACACUAACUGGAGGACCGAACCGACUAAUGUUGAAAAAUUAGCGGAUGACUUGUGGCUGGGGGUGAAAGGCCAAUCAAACCGGGAGAUAGCUGGUUCUCCCCGAAAGCUAUUUAGGUAGCGCCUCGUGAAUUCAUCUUCGGGGGUAGAGCACUGUUUCGGCUAGGGGGUCAUCCCGACUUACCAACCCGAUGCAAACUACGAAUACCGAAGAAUGUUAUCACGGGAGACACACGGCGGGUGCUAACGUCCGUCGUGAAGAGGGAAACAACCCAGACCGCCAGCUAAGGUCCCAAAGUCAUGGUUAAGUGGGAAACGAUGUGGGAAGGCACAGACAGCCAGGAUGUUGGCUUAGAAGCAGCCAUCAUUUAAAGAAAGCGUAAUAGCUCACUGGUCGAGUCGGCCUGCGCGGAAGAUGUAACGGGGCUAAACCAUGCACCGAAGCUGCGGCAGCGACACUAUGUGUUGUUGGGUAGGGGAGCGUUCUGUAAGCCUGCGAAGGUGACCUGUGAGGGUUGCUGGAGGUAUCAGAAGUGCGAAUGCUGACAUAAGUAACGAUAAAGCGGGUGAAAAGCCCGCUCGCCGGAAGACCAAGGGUUCCUGUCCAACGUUAAUCGGGGCAGGGUGAGUCGACCCCUAAGGCGAGGCCGAAAGGCGUAGUCGAUGGGAAACAGGUUAAUAUUCCUGUACUUGGUGUUACUGCGAAGGGGGGACGGAGAAGGCUAUGUUAGCCGGGCGACGGUUGUCCCGGUUUAAGCAUGUAGGCUGGUUAUCCAGGCAAAUCCGGAUAAUCAAGGCUGAGGUGUGAUGACGAGGCACUACGGUGCUGAAGUAACAAAUGCCCUGCUUCCAGGAAAAGCCUCUAAGCAUCAGGUAACAUCAAAUCGUACCCCAAACCGACACAGGUGGUCAGGUAGAGAAUACCAAGGCGCUUGAGAGAACUCGGGUGAAGGAACUAGGCAAAAUGGUGCCGUAACUUCGGGAGAAGGCACGCUGGUGUGUAGGUGAAGUCCCUGCGGAUGGAGCUGAGACCAGUCGAAGAUACCAGCUGGCUGCAACUGUUUAUUAAAAACACAGCACUGUGCAAACACGAAAGUGGACGUAUACGGUGUGACGCCUGCCCGGUGCCGGAAGGUUAAUUG